UGAUUGAUGGUGCUUGCACCUGAUUGACGAUGGAUCACCAGUGAGUGGCGGACGGGUGAGUAACACGUAGGUAACCUGCCCCGGAGCGGGGGAUAACAUUUGGAAACAGAUGCUAAUACCGCAUAACAGCAAAAGCCACAUGGCUUUUGCUUGAAAGAUGGCUUUGGCUAUCACUCUGGGAUGGACCUGCGGUGCAUUAGCUAGUUGGUAAGGUAACGGCUUACCAAGGCGAUGAUGCAUAGCCGAGUUGAGAGACUGAUCGGCCACAAUGGAACUGAGACACGGUCCAUACUCCUACGGGAGGCAGCAGUAGGGAAUCUUCCACAAUGGGCGCAAGCCUGAUGGAGCAACACCGCGUGAGUGAAGAAGGGUUUCGGCUCGUAAAGCUCUGUUGUUGGAGAAGAACGUGCGUGAGAGUAACUGUUCACGCAGUGACGGUAUCCAACCAGAAAGUCACGGCUAACUACGUGCCAGCAGCCGCGGUAAUACGUAGGUGGCAAGCGUUAUCCGGAUUUAUUGGGCGUAAAGCGAGCGCAGGCGGUUGCUUAGGUCUGAUGUGAAAGCCUUCGGCUUAACCGAAGAAGUGCAUCGGAAACCGGGCGACUUGAGUGCAGAAGAGGACAGUGGAACUCCAUGUGUAGCGGUGGAAUGCGUAGAUAUAUGGAAGAACACCAGUGGCGAAGCGGCUGUCUGGUCUGCAACUGACGCUGAGCUCGAAAGCAUGGGUAGCGAACAGGAUUAGAUACCCUGGUAGUCCAUGCGUAACGAUGAGUGCUAGUGUGAGGUUCCGCCUUCAGUGCGAGCUACGCAUAAGCACUCCGCUGGGGAGUACGACCGCAAGUUGAAACUCAAAGGAAUUGACGGGGGCCCGCACAAGCGGUGGAGCAUGUGGUUUAAUUCGAAGCUACGCGAAGAACCUUACCAGGUCUUGACAUCUUGCGCUAACCUUAGAGAUAAGGCGUUCCCUUCGGGGACGCAAUGACAGGUGGUGCAUGGUCGUCGUCAGCUCGUGUCGUGAGAUGUUGGGUUAAGUCCCGCAACGAGCGCAACCCUUGUUACUAGUUGCCAGCAUUAAGUUGGGCACUCUAGUGAGACUGCCGGUGACAAACCGGAGGAAGGUGGGGACGACGUCAGAUCAUCAUGCCCCUUAUGACCUGGGCUACACACGUGCUACAAUGGACGGUACAACGAGUCGCAAGCUCGCGAGAGUAAGCUAAUCUCUUAAAGCCGUUCUCAGUUCGGACUGUAGGCUGCAACUCGCCUACACGAAGUCGGAAUCGCUAGUAAUCGCGGAUCAGCAUGCCGCGGUGAAUACGUUCCCGGGCCUUGUACACACCGCCCGUCACACCAUGGGAGUUU
This 1359-nucleotide ribosomal RNA is filed under the name Limosilactobacillus reuteri. RNAcentral describes it as "bacterial SSU rRNA". It matches the Rfam family "Bacterial small subunit ribosomal RNA", at positions 64 to 1413 of the family's 1533-position model. The record is from RNAcentral. Lineage: Bacteria; Bacillati; Bacillota; Bacilli; Lactobacillales; Lactobacillaceae.